Long non-coding RNA from Apodemus sylvaticus (European woodmouse), 1889 nucleotides. RefSeq lists it as uncharacterized. The record is from RefSeq and is a predicted model, not a curated record. The transcript has 2 exons. NCBI's taxonomy places the organism in Eukaryota, Metazoa, Chordata, Mammalia, Rodentia, Muridae.
UUCAUGUAUCCCAGACUGGCCUUGAACCUUUAUGUAGGUGAGGAUGACCAAGAACUCCUGAUUCUUCAGCUUCCAUUUCCCCAGUGCUGGGAAUACAAAUUCACACCACCACAUCUGGCUUAUGGUUUACCCCGGGGACCAGAACCUCAUCAACAGAGCUAAGUCAUCUGUACAUUGACUUUCCUAGACAGUCGUUUGAGCUCAUCCUUGUGAUACACUCCUGUGCUGUGACAUUUACUACAUCAAAAUGUAACAUCACAGUUUAAAAUAUGUGCUUAAUUAGGAAGACACUUGGUGUUUGGUGGCUGAAAUGUGUUUCAAUUAAAAGGUGUAGAAACAGAUGUUUAGUGUACUGGAGUUUCCCAAUAUGCUCUGCCUUGUCUUAACCUGCAAGCUUACAUUACUUUCUUUGUGUACUUUGCAAACAUGGGCAGAGUUGGUACUUCGCCUCUCUUCAAUGCAAUGAUAUUGGAGACAGGAAAAUUUUAGAGAGAGAGGGAGAGGGAGAGAGAGAGGGAGAGGAGAGAUUGUUAUCAAUUAAUGUAUCUGGUAUCUGAGCAGAAAAUUGCAGAAGAACCAGCUAUUCCUAUACUCGGCCCAUGGAGAUGCCAAGGGGGGUUUGAAACUGAUUGCUCUGGUAAUGAAGAACUAGGUUGUGUUUACUGUGAUAAUCUUCAUUGUUAAUUUAAUUGGUUGUAGAAUCAUCUAGGAGAUUUCCAGCAAGGUUUCACAAAGGAGGGAAGAUCCACAGUGAAAUAUGGCUGGUACCAGACAGUCAGCUGGUGUCUCUGAACUGAAGUUGAGUACCAGUAUUUUCUUCCUGCUUUUUGGUCCAUCCAGAUGUUAAGCAAGCAGCUCUAUGCUUCUGCUCACAUAUCUUCAAAAGGCAGCUGCCAGCCCAGCCCCGAAGGACUGACCCCUCAGGCCACAAUAUGCCCUUUGCCAUUAGCUUCUUCUUCUUGUCAGGAGAGCUCAAGAGUGAGAAGACAAAGAGGACCAAGCAAUGAAGAAGUGUUGAAUUGAAUCAGUCAGACAAAGUGCUGUGACUCUUCCCACUGGAAUAAAUACCAACCGUGGAGCCCAGAGUGUAGCAAGAGAACUCAUGCUGGAGUCUUAGCAAAGAUGGGAGAAUGGAUGCAUAAGGCUUUCCUGGAGUUACUGGGCUGACUAAAUCACUCUGUGUAGCCAUAUAACAGCUGGACAUGUGUCAGUUCAAGUCCUAAGAUACUUCCCUUUGAGAGAAGAUUCGAAAAGUUUGGACUACAGUAGCUUCUAGGUUUAGUGAAUUAACCCAGCACAUUUGUUGAAUGUUCUUAUGCAUUCUUGACUGUAUUUUUUUCCUGGCAGAUGGUUAGAAUUGUAAGCGAUUGCUCCAUAGAGUAUGCAUGGGUCGUGAGUGGAGUCAGACAUCCAUCAGGCAAAACAGUGAACACAACUAUUUCUUAUUUGUGUGUGUAUGUGCACAGGGAUGAUGGGGCACACAUAGAGAGCAGAAGAUAGCCGUCGGGAGUCAGUUCUUCCCUUCUACCUUAUGAGUCUUUAGGACUGAACCCAGCUCAUCAGGUUUGAAGUAAAUGCUGUCACUCUCUGAGCCAGCCUUCUAGCUCCAAACACCAUGAUUUCUGGCAUUAAUUAGCAAGGAAAUAAAUGUAAGGGUUACGACUAAAAGUGUUGAAGACAAGGCAGAGGUGGGGCAUUCCUAACAGGGACUAGAAUGGUGAAAAACAGAAGCAGCAGGCAAGGGUGACUUUGGCCCUUUCUUCUGCAGGAACUCCGACAUCACUAGGAGGCCAGAGUCCUCCAGUCAGGUGUUGUUUUGUAUCUAGGGAAACAUAUGUCUCCCAGACAACAUGUCACUAUCUACGGGCAAUAAAGGAGACUAGAUACCU